UACAGAGGGGGCAAGCGUUAUUCGGAAUUAUUGGGCGUAAAGGGCGCGUAGGCGGCUUUGCAAGUGACGGGUGAAAGCCCUCGGCUUAACCGAGGAACUGCCUGUCAGACUGUGAGGCUUGAGACCGGGAGAGGUGAGUGGAAUUCCCAGUGUAGCGGUGAAAUGCGUAGAUAUCUGGAGGAACACCGGUGGCGAAGGCGACAUCCUGGACCGGUAUUGACGCUGAGGCGCGAAAGCCAGGGGAGCAAACGGG
RNAcentral lists this ribosomal RNA (253 nucleotides) under uncultured bacterium. RNAcentral describes it as "partial 16S ribosomal RNA". It matches the Rfam family "Bacterial small subunit ribosomal RNA", at positions 524 to 776 of the family's 1533-position model. The record is from RNAcentral.